This 404-nucleotide ribosomal RNA is filed under the name uncultured organism. RNAcentral describes it as "bacterial SSU rRNA". It matches the Rfam family "Bacterial small subunit ribosomal RNA", at positions 45 to 433 of the family's 1533-position model. The record is from RNAcentral.
CGCCUAACACAUGCAAGUCGCACGAGAAGUUCCCCGCAAGGGGAAUUGUAAAGUGGCGCACGGGUGAGUAAUAUGUGAGUAACCUACCCUUGAGUGGGGGAUAACCUCGGGAAAGGGAGGCUAAUACCGCAUCGUAUCUUGAGGCGAAAGCUGAAAGAUUAAAGGUGGCCUCUAUUUAUAAGCUAUCGCUCAUUGAGGGGCUCACAUUCCAUUAGCUAGUUGGCAGGGUAACGGCCUACCAAGGCGACGAAGGAUAGCUGGUUUGAGAGGACGACCAGCCACACUGGCACUGAAACACGGGCCAGACUCCUACGGGAGGCAGCAGUGAGGAAUAUUGCGCAAUGGGCGAAAGCCUGACGCAGCGCCGCCGCGUGGGGGAUGAAGGCCUUCGGGUUGUAAACCCC